RNAcentral lists this ribosomal RNA (437 nucleotides) under uncultured bacterium. RNAcentral's name for it is "bacterial SSU rRNA". It matches the Rfam family "Bacterial small subunit ribosomal RNA", at positions 77 to 507 of the family's 1533-position model. The record is from RNAcentral.
AGCUUGCUGAUACCGAUGGCGACCGGCGCACGGGUGAGUAACGCGUAUGUAAUCUGCCUGUAACAGAGGGGAUAACCCCGGAGAAAUCCGGCCUAAUACCUCAUAGCACAUAUUAUUCGCAUGAGUUUUAUGUUAAAGAGACUCGGUUACAGAUGAACAUGCGUUCCAUUAGCUGGUUGGCGGGGUAACGGCCCACCAAGGCAACGAUGGAUAGGGGUUCUGAGAGGAAGGUCCCCCACAUUGGAACUGAGACACGGUCCAAACUCCUACGGGAGGCAGCAGUGGGGAAUAUUGGUCAAUGGGCGAGAGCCUGAACCAGCCAAGUAGCGUGAAGGAUGACUGCCCUAUGGGUUGUAAACUUCUUUUAUAAAGGAAUAAAGUCGGGUAUGUAUACCCGUUUGCAUGUACUUUAUGAAUAAGGAUCGGCUAACUCCGUG